This 320-nucleotide ribosomal RNA is filed under the name Clostridioides difficile. Its description in RNAcentral is "bacterial LSU rRNA". It matches the Rfam family "Bacterial large subunit ribosomal RNA", at positions 883 to 1203 of the family's 2925-position model. Lineage: Bacteria; Bacillati; Bacillota; Clostridia; Peptostreptococcales; Peptostreptococcaceae. The record is from RNAcentral.
CAAGGUGAGAGAUACGGAGGUAGAGCACUGAAUGUCCUAGGGGGUAUUGCACCUACCGAAGACUAUCAAACUCCGAAUGCCGUCAUCUUAUACUUGGGAGUCAGACUGUGGGGGAUAAGAUUCAUAGUCGAAAGGGCAACAGCCCAGAUCGUCAGCUAAGGUCCCUAAAUGUAAGUUAAGUGGUAAAGGAUGGGGGAUUGCACAGACAACCAGGAUGUUGGCUUAGAAGCAGCCACUCAUUCAAAGAGUGCGUAAUAGCUCACUGGUCGAGUGAUCCUGCGCCGAAGAUUUCCGGGGCUAAAACUUACUACCGAAGCUAC